Molecule: ribosomal RNA, 1151 nt
Filed under: Cassava witches'-broom phytoplasma
Lineage: Bacteria; Bacillati; Mycoplasmatota; Mollicutes; Acholeplasmatales; Acholeplasmataceae
Description: bacterial SSU rRNA
Rfam family: Bacterial small subunit ribosomal RNA
Source: RNAcentral
AAGACCUAGUUAAUAGGUAUGCUUUAGGAGGGGCUUGCGCCAUAUUAGUUAGUUGGUAGGGUAAUGGCCUACCAAGACGAUGAUGUGUAGCUGGACUGAGAGGUUGAACAGCCACAUUGGGACUGAGACACGGCCCAAACUCCUACGGGAGGCAGCAGUAGGGAAUUUUCGGCAAUGGAGGAAACUCUGACCGAGCAACGCCGCGUGAAUGACGAAGUACUUCGGUAUGUAAAGUUCUUUUAUCGAGGAAGAAAAGCAAAUGGCGAACCAUUUGUUUGCCGGUACUUGAUGAAUAAGCCCCGGCUAAUUAUGUGCCAGCAGCCGCGGUAAGACAUAAGGGGCAAGUGUUAUCCGGAAUUAUUGGGCGUAAAGGGUGCGUAGGCGGUCUAGUAAGUCAGUGGUGUAAUGUCAACGCUUAACGUUGUCCGGCUAUUGAAACUGCUAAACUUGAGUUAGAUAGAGGCGAGUGGAAUUCCAUGUGUAGCGGUAAAAUGCGUAAAUAUAUGGAGGAACACCAGAGGCGUAGGCGGCUCGCUGGGUCUUAACUGACGCUGAGGCACGAAAGCGUGGGGAGCAAACAGGAUUAGAUACCCUGGUAGUCCACGCCGUAAACGAUGAGUACUAAGUGUCGGGUUAAACCGGUACUGAAGUUAACACAUUAAGUACUCCGCCUGAGUAGUACGUACGCAAGUAUGAAACUUAAAGGAAUUGACGGGACUCCGCACAAGCGGUGGAUCAUGUUGUUUAAUUCGAAGAUACCCGAAAAACCUUACCAGGUCUUGACAUGUUUUUGCAAAAUGAUAGUAAUAUCGUGGAGGUUACCAGAAACACAGGUGGUGCAUGGUUGUCGUCAGCUCGUGUCGUGAGAUGUUAGGUUAAGUCCUAAAACGAGCGAAACCCUUAUCGUUAGUUGCCAGCACGUUAUGGUGGGGACUUUAACGAGACUGCCAAUGAUAAAUUGGAGGAAGGUGAGGAUCACGUCAAAUCAGCAUGCCCCUUAUGACCUGGGCUACAAACGUGAUACAAUGGCUGUUACAAAGGGUAGCUGAAACGCAAGUUCUUGGCCAAUCCCCAAAAACAGUCCCAGUCCGGAUUGAAGUCUGCAACUCGACUUCAUGAAGUUGGAAUCGCUAGUAAUCGCGAAUCAGCAU